UACCUUGAAACCUUUCCUAUUCAUGUACUGAACCAAAACUUGUUUGAAAUGUAACUCUACUGCAUCCAUCACUUCGUUUGCAGUUCAUUCUACAAAUGACCCAUCUUCUUUGUUUAAAAAAAAAUUGCCCCUCAGGCCCCUCUUAAAUCUUUCCCCCCUCACCUUAAAAAUAUGCCCUGUAGUUUUGAAUUCUUCGGAAAAGAUCUGUCCAGUGGGGAAAAAAGUGCGAGUCCCUCUUGCCUCUCCUUUUCACUCUAACCCUCCAGUCCUUGUAACAUCCUUUCAAAUCUUUUCUGCACCCUUUUCCAAUUUAAUAAUAUCCUUCCUACUGCAGGGCAACCAGAACUGUACACAGUAGUCCCAUUGGAAUUAGAGGACUCAGCACCAUGCAACAGAUCUUGAUCAUUUCAUUUUGUUAUCACUGGUGAUUGACUGAACUGAAUUUCUGUGUCUGUAUCCCAGAUAUUAACAGCCAAUAGACACUCUCAGGGUGUUUAUAAUCUGAGACGAUGGAAUUCCCAAACCAGGCAUUGAUGUAGCAGCUCAAGGUACUCUCAAUAACCCCUCAAAAAAUGGUGAGCCUGGAGGUACAUCAAGUCAUAAUGAUGUACGCAUGAGUUUAUUUAUCUGAAAAAUACUGCCCCACACUCCACUAAUCACAAUUUUAU
This is a non-coding RNA of Chiloscyllium plagiosum (whitespotted bambooshark), 668 nucleotides long. The record is from RefSeq and is a predicted model, not a curated record. Lineage: Eukaryota; Metazoa; Chordata; Chondrichthyes; Orectolobiformes; Hemiscylliidae.